AAAUUGAAGAGUUUGAUCAUGGCUCAGAUUGAACGCUGGCGGCAGGCCUAACACAUGCAAGUCGAACGGUAACAGGAAGCAGCUUGCUGCUUUGCUGACGAGUGGCGGACGGGUGAGUAAUGUCUGGGAAACUGCCUGAUGGAGGGGGAUAACUACUGGAAACGGUGGCUAAUACCGCAUAACGUCGCAAGACCAAAGAGGGGGACCUUCGGGCCUCUUGCCAUCAGAUGUGCCCAGAUGGGAUUAGCUUGUUGGUGAGGUAACGGCUCACCAAGGCGACGAUCCCUAGCUGGUCUGAGAGGAUGACCAGCCACACUGGAACUGAGACACGGUCCAGACUCCUACGGGAGGCAGCAGUGGGGAAUAUUGCACAAUGGGCGCAAGCCUGAUGCAGCCAUGCCGCGUGUAUGAAGAAGGCCUUCGGGUUGUAAAGUACUUUCAGCGGGGAGGAAGGUGUUGUGGUUAAUAACCACAGCAAUUGACGUUACCCGCAGAAGAAGCACCGGCUAACUCCGUGCCAGCAGCCGCGGUAAUACGGAGGGUGCAAGCGUUAAUCGGAAUUACUGGGCGUAAAGCGCACGCAGGCGGUCUGUCAAGUCGGAUGUGAAAUCCCCGGGCUCAACCUGGGAACUGCAUUCGAAACUGGCAGGCUUGAGUCUUGUAGAGGGGGGUAGAAUUCCAGGUGUAGCGGUGAAAUGCGUAGAGAUCUGGAGGAAUACCGGUGGCGAAGGCGGCCCCCUGGACAAAGACUGACGCUCAGGUGCGAAAGCGUGGGGAGCAAACAGGAUUAGAUACCCUGGUAGUCCACGCCGUAAACGAUGUCUACUUGGAGGUUGUGCCCUUGAGGCGUGGCUUCCGGAGCUAACGCGUUAAGUAGACCGCCUGGGGAGUACGGCCGCAAGGUUAAAACUCAAAUGAAUUGACGGGGGCCCGCACAAGCGGUGGAGCAUGUGGUUUAAUUCGAUGCAACGCGAAGAACCUUACCUGGUCUUGACAUCCACAGAACUUUUCCAGAGAUGGAUUGGUGCCUUCGGGAACUGUGAGACAGGUGCUGCAUGGCUGUCGUCAGCUCGUGUUGUGAAAUGUUGGGUUAAGUCCCGCAACGAGCGCAACCCUUAUCCUUUGUUGCCAGCGGUUAGGCCGGGAACUCAAAGGAGACUGCCAGUGAUAAACUGGAGGAAGGUGGGGAUGACGUCAAGUCAUCAUGGCCCUUACGACCAGGGCUACACACGUGCUACAAUGGCGCAUACAAAGAGAAGCGACCUCGCGAGAGCAAGCGGACCUCAUAAAGUGCGUCGUAGUCCGGAUUGGAGUCUGCAACUCGACUCCAUGAAGUCGGAAUCGCUAGUAAUCGUGGAUCAGAAUGCCACGGUGAAUACGUUCCCGGGCCUUGUACACACCGCCCGUCACACCAUGGGAGUGGGUUGCAAAAGAAGUAGGUAGCUUAACCUUCGGGAGGGCGCUUACCACUUUGUGAUUCAUGACUGGGGUGAAGUCGUAACAAGGUAACCGUAGGGGAACCUGCGGUUGGAUCACCUCCUUACCUUAAAG
This 1551-nucleotide ribosomal RNA is filed under the name Salmonella enterica subsp. enterica serovar Heidelberg str. 76-0300. RNAcentral's name for it is "bacterial SSU rRNA". It matches the Rfam family "Bacterial small subunit ribosomal RNA". Lineage: Bacteria; Pseudomonadati; Pseudomonadota; Gammaproteobacteria; Enterobacterales; Enterobacteriaceae. The record is from RNAcentral.